CCCAAAAGGAGAAGCAGAAGCUUCCGUGCUUAGAAGUGCUACAGCAUUACAUCCACUAUAUGCCUCCCCGGGGCUUAGGUGGAUACAACACAGAUGGCUCGUUUUGAUGGAGAGAAUGACAAGUGCAUACUGGGAGGGAAGGAAUAGGUGGUAUCAUCUUUGGAUACUGCUGACCACAGCAUCUUCCUGCCUAAAGAACAGGAAUCUGAAACAUAGCACCUACCUCUGAAGACACUAAACAAAAUGCACAAAAUGUCUAUUUGGACCAGAAGGAGCAUUUGAGACUGUCAGUGGCUGUCUUCAAGGGUUCAGAGAACUGAUGUGAUUCCCUCCUCUGCUAUAUUUCUGGAAAAGCAGUUCACCGACCAACUCUAACUAGAGGAAACUUGGGCUGACACUGAACAUUCACUUCGUGCUUUCCCAAAGCCUAAGGGAGCUUUGUGGAAGGGAGGCAUGAUCAAAUGGAAAGAACAUGGCUUUGAGCCUAACAAAGGGUUUAGACUCCUCCGCCUGCCAGAACAGUGAUUCCACCUCUCUUGGAACAGUCAUAUCUGCUGAGAAGUUUAAGGAAGGAACCUUGAGAAAGCAUCAGAGGUGGCUUUGGAGGUGGAAUCUAAAGAAACUAGAGGAGAGAAGAAAGGAAGAAUGGAUUACAAAAGAUGAGCAAGAUGCCUGGAAUUUCACACGUACAUCAUCUCUUUGGGUCACAGAGAAAGCCAUGCUUGAUUAACACUGAGGAUUUGCGUGCGACCUAUGGCUGGUGUCCAAUGACUUCUCCCAUUUUCAGAACACUUCUGUAAUGUUGCCGUCAGUGGUGAAUAUAUGACAUCCAAGGAAAGGUGAGGCCCUGACACUAAGAGGAAUACAAUGACCAGUCCAAGAGGACAACCCAGAACUGGACUUCUGGGGCCUGACUGAACUGGAUUGAGGUAUCGGACACGCUUUUACAGAGGCUAUUUAGGAGGUAGAUUUUAUGAGCCUCAUUUUGCCAAUGAUAACACUAGGGCACAGAGAGGUUCAGCAACCCGCCCAAGGCCACACAGCCAGGAAGGAGCAGGAUCUGACCCCAGUCUGCCUGACUCCGGAGCCCAUGCUUGCAAACAUUCCACUGAACCACAGGCUGCCUGACUCCGGAGCCCAUGCUUGCAAACAUUCGUAAUCCCUGCUGAAUGAUUUCAGCUCUCCUGCUGUCUUCCCCCACCUCACUGUCUCGCGAUGGACGUUCACAUUUCCCGGCUGGCCCAGAAGCUGCGAUAGGGUGUUAUGAGCUGUUAGCUUAAGAGGGGUGAAGCCCUGUGAAAAGAAAACACACUUGCUCCCCUUCCUCAGCUGCGCUGGUCUUUCCUCCAGCUGAUCUUUCUCCUGUUAUAUAAAUGGAAUGUUAUACAAAUGUUUCCACCAUGAGUUUCCUUUCAAAAGAUGAA
This 1424-nucleotide long non-coding RNA is filed under the name Sus scrofa (pig). Its description in RNAcentral is "lncRNA (ENSSSCG00015061210.1)". The record is from RNAcentral. Lineage: Eukaryota; Metazoa; Chordata; Mammalia; Artiodactyla; Suidae.